GCAAAUGCUGAAAACAAAAUGAAGAAAAUACAUCCACACCCAUGCUCAGUUUCAGUUUAGAGUAAGAAGUUACCAUAACAUGUACGUCUCUGGGGAAGAGGAGGAGACCAGUGUACCUUGAGAAAAUCAUCACAGAUACAAAGAAAACGUUCAAACAUUUCACUGGGAUCACAAAUAUGAUCUGAAUCCAGGACCUUGGGAAUAUGAGGCAAGAUGCUAAUCAAUCCAACUUGACUUAAGAAGAAAGUAAACAGAUGGGAGUCCAAUACAGAACUGAUUCAAACAUGGCUGAACCUCCGGUUAUAUGGGUUCCAGUCUGGAAGGGGCAGUUCCAGGAGGGCAGACAACAGAGAGGAAGAGAGACGGCAUUAGCACUCAGUGCCAGCCCCUGGUUCAGCAGUUCAGCUGAAGACCCUGCCUCUCAAUGACAUCACCACCGGUCCACCCAAUGUUGAGUUCACUUCUAGCAACCCCUGAUGAUGUCAUUUCCAGUACCCACAAUACAUCUUCCUGCCACAUCAGUUCCUGUUCUGGCUGUCCUGACUCCACCUCUUCCUCUUAUCCACCGUAUUUAUAGCCCAAACACAACCUGUUAGUCAGUUCAGUUGUAAACUCCGCAUCUGUAAAGACAUGUUUUUUUUUUUAUUUUGCUGAUUUUUUAGUAUAUGGGGUGGCCAUCUCCAAACCUC
This is a long non-coding RNA of Polypterus senegalus (gray bichir), 689 nucleotides long. RefSeq lists it as uncharacterized. NCBI's taxonomy places the organism in Eukaryota, Metazoa, Chordata, Cladistia, Polypteriformes, Polypteridae. The record is from RefSeq and is a predicted model, not a curated record. The transcript is spliced from 3 exons.